Molecule: ribosomal RNA, 167 nt
Filed under: Rhizophora mucronata
Lineage: Eukaryota; Viridiplantae; Streptophyta; Magnoliopsida; Malpighiales; Rhizophoraceae
Description: 5.8S ribosomal RNA
Rfam family: 5.8S ribosomal RNA
About the family: 5.8S ribosomal RNA (5.8S rRNA) is a component of the large subunit of the eukaryotic ribosome. It is transcribed by RNA polymerase I as part of the 45S precursor that also contains 18S and 28S rRNA.
Source: RNAcentral
ACGACUCUCGGCAACGGAUAUCUCGGCUCUCGCAUCGAUGAAGAACGUAGCGAAAUGCGAUACUUGGUGUGAAUUGCAGAAUCCCGCGAACCAUCGAGUCUUUGAACGCAAGUUGCGCCCGAAGCGACCCCGCUGAGGGCACGUCUGCCUGGGUGUCACACAACAUC